This is a non-coding RNA of Castor canadensis (American beaver), 928 nucleotides long. Lineage: Eukaryota; Metazoa; Chordata; Mammalia; Rodentia; Castoridae. The record is from RefSeq and is a predicted model, not a curated record.
CGCGCGACCCCUGGGACCCAGUUCCGCCUCUCGUGGGCCUUCAUGGCUGUCAAGCAUCUGGCCGGGGCUGGGGUACUGGGCCUGAGGUCGCGCUGGCGAAGCACCGAAGCCAGGCGGCUGUCGGGUGGCGCGGUUUUGGAGCCUUGCGUUUGCGGAUCGCGGCGGCGGAAGCUCGGCACGGAGACUCCCGAGCCCGGGGAGGUGUCAAUAAUGUUUGAGGACAUGGCUGCAUGCAUUACUCAGGAUGAGUGAAGAAAGCUGGAUCCUUCUCAGAGCAGCUUUUACUGAGAGAUGAUACUGGAGAACUACAAUCACCUGGCCACACUGGAGUUGGACUUCCAUUUACCAUACCCAAGGUGAUCUCCCUGUUGCAACAAGGAGAAGAUCACUGGAAGGCAGAGAAAGAAAGGCUUGGAGACUCUGCUCUUGGUGUUUGUUUUUAGACUUGCUGGCAACACUAGGAUAAGAACUGGCUUCAUAACAUUUGACACAGAAUUCAUUUGUACAGUCUUCAAGAAGGUCUCUCCCAAACACAGAUGCUAAUAGUUUCAGACAUUGAAAGUAAAAUACACCUGACUCCAUCCAUUGACUUCUAUAAGAAAUUAGCCUUGGACUGUUCUGGUCAACAGGUAGCUGUUGACUUAUUCCUUCUCAGUGGACAGUAUUCUGAUUUGGCUUCUCCGGGACCUUGAGAAGUUAGAGAAAAGCUGAGUGAAAUGCCUGCAGUUACUUUGGUGUGGUAAUAGUAGCAUCAUUUAAAAGGAGUUUGUGGGAGUGUCAGAAGGAGGAGCAUUUGGGGUUGGGAACCAGCAGGAGUCUGGAGGAUGAGAGGGACUUCCUGUCUCUGCCCAAUGUCAACCCAGAUGCCAGGUAUACAGUACAGAUGUCAGCGGAAAAGAGUCUUCCUGACAUGCAGUUGGGUUCUUUU